RNAcentral lists this ribosomal RNA (253 nucleotides) under uncultured bacterium. RNAcentral describes it as "partial 16S ribosomal RNA". It matches the Rfam family "Bacterial small subunit ribosomal RNA", at positions 524 to 776 of the family's 1533-position model. The record is from RNAcentral.
UACAGAGGAUGCAAGCGUUAUCCGGAAUGAUUGGGCGUAAAGCGUCUGUAGGUGGCUUUUUAAGUCCGCCGUCAAAUCCCAGGGCUCAACCCUGGACAGGCAGUGGAAACUAACAAGCUGGAGUACGGUAGGGGCAGAGGGAAUUUUCGGUGGAGCGGUGAAAUGCAUUGAGAUCGGAAAGAACACCAACGACAAAAGCACUCUGCUGGGCCGACACUGACACUAAGAGACGAAAGCUAGGGGAGCAAAUGGG